This 326-nucleotide ribosomal RNA is filed under the name uncultured bacterium. Its description in RNAcentral is "bacterial SSU rRNA". It matches the Rfam family "Bacterial small subunit ribosomal RNA", at positions 471 to 793 of the family's 1533-position model. The record is from RNAcentral.
GACGUUUAGCUGCAGAAGAAGCACCGGCUAACUCCGUGCCAGCAGCCGCGGUAAUACGGAGGGUGCGAGCGUUAAUCGGAAUUACUGGGCGUAAAGCGCAUGCAGGUGGUUUGUUAAGUCAGAUGUGAAAGCCCCGGGGCUCAACCUCGGAAUUGCAUUUGAAACUGGCAAACUAGAGUACUGUAGAGGGGGUAGAAUUUCAGGUGUAGCGGUGAAAAUGCGUAGAGAUCUGAAGGAAUACCGGUGGCGAAGGCGGCCCCCCUGGACAGAUACUGACACUCAGAUGCGAAAGCGUGGGGAGCAAACAGGAUUAGAUACCCUGGUAG